AGAGCAGCGUGAGCGUGGCUGGCCUGGCAGGUCCCACCCUGGCCCUCUGGGGAGGCAGCCCUGGGGCGAGCCAGCCCCACCGUGCACACAUUGUGAGCACCCAGGCACCUCUGCUUCCGUGAGGGGCACAGUGCGGUUGGAGACGGCUGGAGCAGGGGGAGGGGCGUUUCCAGCCCCCACCCUCCAAAGCUUUGGUCCACUUAGCGGGCACAGCUAAGCCCCUGCCGGGCUUUUCUCAGGCAGCCACAGCACAGGAUGACCAGGACCUUACAGAGGAGCCUUAAGGGCAAAGAUGGAGGUGGAAGGUGACCCCUGCAGCCUGAGGGCCUUUCUGCUCCUCCUAACCCAAAGAUGCCCAGCAAAGACAAAUGAAGCCCACCCAAGACCCCGAGCGCGACCACUCUGUGGAGAGCCACCCGGCCUCCGAGGGCAGGGCCAAGCACCCCAGAUGGGCAGUGACCCCUCCCUCACGAGGGUGGGCAGGAGAGAGCGCCUGUCCAGUGAAGGCGGCCAGGCAGGCCCACGGGUGAGCGGACGUCCGUGCUGUGCGCGUGGACAUGUCCUGUCUACGUGAGGAGGCUGGAUUCUCGGGGCUGGGCCGUGUGGGGUUGGGAGGGCUGCCCGCCUCCC
Molecule: long non-coding RNA, 630 nt
Filed under: Homo sapiens (human)
Lineage: Eukaryota; Metazoa; Chordata; Mammalia; Primates; Hominidae
Description: HSALNT0360970
Source: RNAcentral